ACACAACAGAGCUCCUAGGUCAGUGCUGGCACCACAGGCAGAUCAGCUGAAGAAGAUAACACUUUUCCCAUGUUUCCCUGCUGGUUUCUUACGGCCUUCCUGGCCCAUGUAGGCUGGGCUCUUCAGCAAACCCCAGACAUGAUUGUCCGACUGGGAGACUCUCUGACUCUGAACUGCUCACACAAAGAGAGUGUAAUCCAGACCAUGUUCUGGUACAAGCUGCCAGUGGGGAAGAACGCCACUUUGCAGCUGAUUGUUCGUUCAGUGGAAGGUAACAAAGCAGAGUUUGAGGAAGAAUUCAAAAGCCACUUCCAGAGCAGUGGGACUAAGGAGAAAUCCUUAUCAGUGGCGAUAGAUCACGUCCUACUCAAUGACUCAGGCACUUAUUUCUGCGCUAAGCAAGAUACACUGUGACACGAAGGCUGGAGCAGCACAACGCAAACCUCUCUCCAUACAAGUGGAGACCUGACCCCUGAACACACAGUCCACUGUGUACCAGUAGAACUAUUUUUCCACUUUUGACCUCCAGCUCUGUCCACUUAAGUAGUGGUUUCCUCUCUGUGUCUUCUGCUUGUUCUCUGCUUUUUUCCCCUUUCCACCUCUGAACAAAUUCUGAUCCUACUUUUGAUACCAACUGUAAUGCUAUUGCUAAGCUUGUUAGCGUUCACUGAAAAGCAGCCCUGCAGUUUGUUCAGAUAAUGGGAAGAACUGCGUCUUUGUUGAAGUCCUCCAGCAGGAUGAGUGCUUGCGAUUGCGAUGCCCCCUGGAGCUGGAGGUUGACAGGCUCUGCUUGACUGGGUGACCUGUAGUAGACGCUGAUCACAAGGCUUCCCUUGCUGCGUAGGUCUCUAACCAUCACCCAUAGGCUUUUGACUUGCUCAUGACUAUACUUUAGGGACAAGUCUUCAGGUUCUAUUGCGUUCAUGAUGUAGAUAGCAACACUACGUCCCCUCCUUCCUCGUCUGUCCCUUCUGAAGAGCUCGUAGCAGUCAACAGGCACACUCCAGUCAUAGGAAUCAUUCCACCAGGUUUCAGUGAUGGCAACUACAUUGUGGUUUUCUAGUAGCCCAGUAGAUUCCAGCAUCUCCUGUUUGUUUCCCAGGCUGUGUGCAUUGGUGUGGAGGCACUUCAGCUGGGCAGCUGGUCUUGUCAAGUCCUUAAAGGAUAACUCCUUAAUUCCUUGAAGUAUUCCCCUUCAUUUUUCCCUCUGCCUUCUCCUAUUG
Molecule: non-coding RNA, 1223 nt
Organism: Gallus gallus (chicken)
Lineage: Eukaryota; Metazoa; Chordata; Aves; Galliformes; Phasianidae
Source: the annotation of a RefSeq genome assembly